UUCUGAGGGCUCAUUUUAUUAUCAAAGACAGGGAAAAGCCCCCCUGGAGUCCAGGAACCAGCUGGAAAAGGGCUCGGCAGCCGCAGGCACCGUCGGGGCUCGGGGCCACCGCUCGACAUCGCCGCUUCGUGCUGCUCUUUGAAAAUGAAGAGCAGGGCACGAGCCUGCGGCUCCUCAUGGACCUGCAGCACCUCCAGAGGCUUCUUCCCAUGAGGAUGAGGCACCGUCUGGCUCUGGGGUGGCCGCAGCCGGGAGAUCCGCUGCCACGAGCGGGGCUGGGGAAGAGCCGGGAUGGGCACGGUGGGGACGUCCUCUCCUUCGUGCCACCAGCACCCGUCCUGCAACGGCAGCUCUGCUGAGCCCGAGACCAUCCCAGGAGCUCCCUGGGACCAGCCCUGCCCCAUGGGCCCUGAACCCCCCAGUCUCUGCACAGAGGGAUGGGAUGAGCCCCCUCCUUCGGCGGGGAGAUGGGAACCUGCCAGCCCAUGAGGGGACAGACCCCGUUCCCAUGCGCUUCCCGGGAGCUCCCCACCCGGCGGUGCCGGGGACCCCUCCGUGGCCCUCGGCCCCCCCUGGCCCCGGUGCCCCCGGUCUCAGCAUCCCGCAGCUCUUACCUGGUGGCCGGGGCAGGGUCACCAGCUGGGCUGCCCCUCGCUGGGGCUGAUCUGCUCCAGGAUCUGGCUGUACCUCCGCGUGAGGGCGUUGGUGUCCCUGGUGAGGUGGGUGAGGACCUGCUGCAGCCCGGCCAGGUGGUGGCACAGCCGCUGCUCCAGCCGCUCCUCCCCGCUGCCGGCGUCGUCCCAGGACGCGUCGGGGCUGGCGCUGGCCGGGCUCCGGUCGCUCCCGGAGGCCAGGCCCUUCUCCACCAUGGGCUUGAUGGCCUUGAGGAGCUGGUAGCGCUCGUAGAGGUCCGUGUGGCCAUUGGCAUCCGGAGCCGCCCCGUCCUGCUGCUGCGGGAAGACCCCUCGGAGCAGGCUGGGGAACAUCACCUCCUGCUCCAUCUUCUGCGUGGCUGAGAAGUACUGCUCCAUGGCCCCGCUCCCGGCUGCGGCAGCGCUGCUCCGGG
RNAcentral lists this long non-coding RNA (1066 nucleotides) under Strigops habroptila (Kakapo). Its description in RNAcentral is "lncRNA (ENSSHBG00005019142.1)". Lineage: Eukaryota; Metazoa; Chordata; Aves; Psittaciformes; Psittacidae. The record is from RNAcentral.